RNAcentral lists this ribosomal RNA (403 nucleotides) under Verrucomicrobiota bacterium. RNAcentral describes it as "Verrucomicrobia bacterium partial 16S ribosomal RNA". It matches the Rfam family "Bacterial small subunit ribosomal RNA", at positions 355 to 776 of the family's 1533-position model. The record is from RNAcentral. Lineage: Bacteria; Pseudomonadati; Verrucomicrobiota.
UGGGGAAUAUUGCACAAUGGGCGCAAGCCUGAUGCAGCAACGCCGCGUGAACGAUGAAGGUCUUCGGAUCGUAAAGUUCUGUUGCAGGGGAAGAUAAUGACGGUACCCUGUGAGGAAGCCCCGGCUAACUACGUGCCAGCAGCCGCGGUAAUACGUAGGGGGCUAGCGUUAUCCGGAUUUACUGGGCGUAAAGGGUGCGUAGGUGGUCUUUCAAGUCGGUGGUUAAAGGCUACGGCUCAACCGUAGUUAGCCUCCGAAACUGGAAGACUUGAGUGAAGGAGAGGAAAGUGGAAUUCCCAGUGUAGCGGUGAAAUGCGUAGAUAUUGGGAGGAAAACCAGUAGCGAAGGCGGCUUUCUGGACUGCAACUGACACUGAGGCACGAAAGCGUGGGUAGCAAACAGG